UGCCCAAUAGCUCAACAGGUUAGAGCAGACGACUCAUAAUCGUUUUGUAGUAGGUUCAAGUCCUUCUUGGGCAACCA
This 77-nucleotide transfer RNA is filed under the name Caudoviricetes sp. Its description in RNAcentral is "tRNA-Met". It matches the Rfam family "tRNA". From Rfam's summary of the family: Transfer RNA (tRNA) molecules are approximately 80 nucleotides in length. Their secondary structure includes four short double-helical elements and three loops (D, anti-codon, and T loops). The record is from RNAcentral. Lineage: Duplodnaviria; Heunggongvirae; Uroviricota; Caudoviricetes.